GGCGGCCGCGCCGGUGGCCAGGGCUCCUCGGGGGGGUCGGAGGGGUGGUCCCCGUCGGACGCUGUCGUUUAAAUCAGGGUCGGGAGCAUCACGCGGAGCGCCGAGGGGGCGAGGUCUGCCCCCUCCACGGGCGCGGUGCGAAAUACUAUGACAGAUGGGAUGAAAUAUGUAGAAUUUCUGUAACUCAAUAGUGGGAAAGCAGUGAGAAGGUCUCUUCAUACUAAUCGAAGUGCACAGUUGCAGAAAAAAGCAGUCCUGCCUUUUCCCAAGCUUGUUCCAGCUCCCUCCUCUCUGCCUACACUGUCCUUCAUAAAAAAUAAUUUGCUGUUGUUUUCAACAAAUUUGUUUUCAUCUGGAUCAGAGAACUGAUGCAGCUGACUGCUUGGCUGCAAAGACCUGAAGAAGUUACCAGGAGGAGAACUGUUUUUUAGCCUCAUAGUUGAAUCAAGCACAAAGCCAGGAAUUCCUAGAAACCAGGGCAACUCCGUGUGUACUCCUGUCUGCCUUAGAAGCAAGAUGUACAGCAGCAUGGAGCUACAGCUACUCCCCUGGCAACUAGGUGACCUGAUUCAGAGCAGCAACAUCAUGAGCUGCACGAUACUACCAAUGUUAAAUCAAAC
Molecule: long non-coding RNA, 620 nt
Filed under: Dromaius novaehollandiae (emu)
Lineage: Eukaryota; Metazoa; Chordata; Aves; Casuariiformes; Dromaiidae
Description: lncRNA (ENSDNVG00000001879.1)
Source: RNAcentral